This 230-nucleotide small RNA is filed under the name Acanthamoeba polyphaga mimivirus. RNAcentral's name for it is "uncharacterized ncRNA". The record is from RNAcentral. Lineage: Varidnaviria; Bamfordvirae; Nucleocytoviricota; Megaviricetes; Imitervirales; Mimiviridae.
ACUAACAAUACCUUAUUAACAAAUAAAUUAAUUUUCUGAGUAAGAUACAAAACUAUGAAGGUAAUCAUAUUGUCCUGUCCAUAUGAAUAAUCAUAUAUAACUGAUGUUUCAUCAAAAUAUCGUAAAUAAUCAACUCAUUUUUUCUACAAAAAUAGAUAAAAUUCUCUGUUGAAAAUGCAUAAAAUCUACCAUGCAUAAAAUCUAAAAUCAUAUUAUUUUUAGUUAACAAC